Sinocyclocheilus anshuiensis is the source of this 489-nucleotide long non-coding RNA. NCBI's taxonomy places the organism in Eukaryota, Metazoa, Chordata, Actinopteri, Cypriniformes, Cyprinidae. The record is from Ensembl.
GACGUGUUGGGCUUCUCUUAACCAAUAAUUUUCCAGGACCGGUGUACUGAGCCAAUCAGAAUUUAGCUUGGACCGCUGCCUCUAUGGCCCCACCCCUAGCGCCGCCUAUGCUAAUCGGUAGUGUUGCAGUGUGCGAAGAGCAAUAUAAUUAUUAACCAGCAGUUAUUAACCACCCAUCAUAAUUCCAGACGAUGACUGAGGUACAUCAACCAACAUGUAUCCAGUUAACUCCCACUAGUGUUGCAUUCAACUCCCUGGCUGUUCCAGACAAAAUCAUUCGGAGCUCGAGGCCAUCGUGACGCCCAAGUUUUGCUAAUUAAUAACGGCGGGCACGCGCUUCCUCUUUUAAAACACUCCAUAUUCAUCAAACAUUUAAACGAAGAAUCCUGUUCACCCUGCAGCCUUGUGACUGCUAUCCAGAUGGACUCAUUACAACCAUUCCUCCACAGCUGCAAGGCUAGGCUUGUGCAGAUCAGAGGAAUGGCCUGA